This 595-nucleotide ribosomal RNA is filed under the name uncultured bacterium. RNAcentral's name for it is "bacterial SSU rRNA". It matches the Rfam family "Bacterial small subunit ribosomal RNA", at positions 28 to 615 of the family's 1533-position model. The record is from RNAcentral.
GACGAACGCUGGCGGCGUGCUUAAUACAUGCAAGUCGAGCGAGGUUACUGUUUUGGAUCCCUUCGGGGUGAAGAAGCUUUAACCUAGCGGCGGACGGGUGAGUAACGCGUGGGUAACCUACCCCAAAGUCCGGGAUAACAGCGGGAAACCGCUGCUAAUACCGGAUGCCUUUACCUUGGGGCAUCUUGAGGUAAAGAAAGGUAACGCUUUGGGAUGGGCCCGCGUCCCAUUAGCUAGUUGGUGAGGUAACGGCUCACCAAGGCGACGAUGGGUAGCCGGCCUGAGAGGGUGGACGGCCACACUGGGACUGAGACACGGCCCAGACUCCUACGGGAGGCAGCAGUAGGGAAUAUUGCGCAAUGGACGGAAGUCUGACGCACGACGCCGCGUGAGCGAUGAAGGUCUUCGGAUCGUAAAGCUCUGUCCUUGGGGAAGAAGGCGAAAGCUUGACGGUACCCAAGAAGAAAGCCCCGGCUAACUACGCGCCAGCAGCCCGCGGUAAUACGUAGGGGGCGAGCGUUGUCCGGAAUUACUGGGCGUAAAGGGUGCGUAGGCGGCCCUUUAAGUCGGAUGUGAAAGCCCGCGGCUUAACCCG